GAGUUUGAUCAUGGCUCAGGAUGAACGCUAGCGGCAGGCUUAAUACAUGCAAGACGAACGGUAACUUUUGUAGCAAUACGGAAGCAAGAGUGUCGUACGGGUGCGUAACACGUAUGCAACCUACCUUGUACAGGAGGAUAGCCCGGGGAAACUCGAAUUAACCCUCCAUAACGUAGUGGAGAGGCAUCUCUCUACUACUAAAACUGAGGUGGUACAAGAUGGGCAUGCGUCUGAUUAGUUAGUUGGCGGUGUAACGGACCACCAAGACGAUGAUCAGUAGGGGACCUGAGAGGGUGAUCCCCACACUGGCACUGAGAUACGGGCCAGACUCCUACGGGAGGCAGCAGUGGGGAAUAUUGGACAAUGGGUGAGAGCCUGAUCCAGCCAUGCCGCGUGCAGGAAGAAGGCGUUAUGCGUUGUAAACUGCUUUUGCCAGGGGAUAAAACGAGCGUGCGCGCUUAAUUGAAGGUACCAGGUG
Molecule: ribosomal RNA, 478 nt
Filed under: uncultured Bacteroidota bacterium
Lineage: Bacteria; Pseudomonadati; Bacteroidota
Description: bacterial SSU rRNA
Rfam family: Bacterial small subunit ribosomal RNA
Source: RNAcentral